UACGUAGGGUGCAAGCGUUAAUCGGAAUUACUGGGCGUAAAGCGUGCGCAGGCGGUUUUGUAAGUCUGACGUGAAAUCCCCGGGCUCAACCUGGGAAUUGCGAUGGAGACUGCAAGGCUUGAAUCUGGCAGAGGGGGGUAGAAUUCCACGUGUAGCAGUGAAAUGCGUAGAGAUGUGGAGGAACACCGAUGGCGAAGGCAGCCCCCUGGGUCAAGAUUGACGCUCAUGUACGAAAGCGUGGGGAGCAAACAGG
This 253-nucleotide ribosomal RNA is filed under the name uncultured bacterium. Its description in RNAcentral is "partial 16S ribosomal RNA". It matches the Rfam family "Bacterial small subunit ribosomal RNA", at positions 524 to 776 of the family's 1533-position model. The record is from RNAcentral.